GCCGGGCGUGGUGGCGUGUGCCUGUAAUCCCAGCUACUUGGGUGGCUGAGGCAGGAGAAUUGUUUGAACCCGGGAGGCUGAGGUUACAGUGAGCCGAGAUCAUGCCACUGCAUUCCAGCCUGGAUGACAGAGCAAGACUCUGUCUCAA
Molecule: unclassified non-coding RNA, 148 nt
Organism: Macaca mulatta (Rhesus monkey)
Lineage: Eukaryota; Metazoa; Chordata; Mammalia; Primates; Cercopithecidae
Rfam family: Metazoan signal recognition particle RNA
About the family: The signal recognition particle (SRP) is a universally conserved ribonucleoprotein. It is involved in the co-translational targeting of proteins to membranes. The eukaryotic SRP consists of a 300-nucleotide 7S RNA and six proteins: SRPs 72, 68, 54, 19, 14, and 9.
Source: Ensembl